Molecule: RNA transcript, 4453 nt
Organism: Odontomachus brunneus
Lineage: Eukaryota; Metazoa; Arthropoda; Insecta; Hymenoptera; Formicidae
Gene name: UPF0489 protein C5orf22 homolog
Exons: 6
Source: RefSeq, a predicted model, not a curated record
AUCGAUCCAUUGAAAUAAAUUUGUCCAUGCUAAAUCGCUAAGUGAUACUGCACACAGCAUUUCGCCCGUCGUGCACAGGCCGGCUGCGAGUUAGAAGGAUCGGGUUUCUAAGGUCUCCUCGACCGUCCAUCCGUCCGUCCGUCCGUCCAUGACGCGCGGGGAAAGAGCGUGAGAGAGAAAGAAGAAAAAAACGAGGGGGGGAAAGAGACGAGAACCACCUUACGGAACUCGUCUCGUGAGAAUUCGGGGUUGACCCUCCUGUGAUGCCCCUGUCUUUUAUUCGCGAAAUGAUCGUUUGAGGUGCGCGCCUAAGAGCAAAACUUCAGUCUGCGAUCACGUGCUUUCGCGCGAAGCAGUGUGCCACGUGUCCGUGAUUCGAUUCGAGUUUCCGCGUCGUCGUCGUCAUCGUCGUCAUCGUGGUCGUCGUUAUCGUCGCUGCGUGUUAAUUAGAGUAUUGAUCGUUUUUAAACGCGUGUCCCGUCUGUACAGCGAUCGCGUACUCGUCCCCGUGGUCGAUAGUCCCGCGUGAUCAGCGGAGUAUGUCGCUCGCACUCAAGUACUUCAAGAAGACGCCGAUCUACGUGGUGGAGGGCCACGAUGAGGUUUUACCCUUCAUAUAUCGGUGUCUGGGCUCGAAACACCUGCCCUUCCAAGACAACACGUUCAUACAUCUGGAUUCGCAUCCCGAUAUGGUGAUACCGCCAGCGAUGCAGGCCGACAUCGUUUGGGAUAAGCUCCGAUUAUUCAGCGAGCUCAGUAUCGAGAAUUGGAUCUUGCCUGCAGUGUAUGCGGGUCACUUCAAGUACCUCAUCUGGGUGAAACCACCGUGGGCUAAUCAGAUGCAGGAUGGUGUGCAGACGUUCCUCAUCGGCAAGCACAAGGACAACGGCUUGAUAAGGUUAGUCUAUUUAUCGUUUAAGCGUGGAUGAUAUUGGCGGAAGAUGAAUAGGGAAAUGCAAAACUCGCGCACCGCGAGUAUCAGUUUCUUAUUAGCGGACCGAAAAACUAAUUACCAGGUAACCGCUUCACUCUACGUCCGCAAAAUGACUCAUCUUUCGAAGCGAUGGAAUCAACGACCCGACGAACUUCCGUAGGCGGAAAGCGAAGGAAGCUCUCCAGCGGUCACAUCGUCACGGCGAUCGCGGAUUCUCGAUAGAAAACACGAAAACGGCGCAUCACGUGUACUCGCGACUUGACCUUGACUCGCCGCGGCGUCGGAACGCUAAGAGGUUUACCUCGGUAAACCCUGGUAUCUCGGGAUACCACUCGGGGUCUCGGUCGAGGGAUUAAGACGGGGUUGUUGAGCAGCAGGACGACACGCGGGGCGACGGUGACGCUGACAGAGAGACAGAGAGAGGCGGGGAGAAGACGCGGGGGCGAGAAUGAGAAAGGAAAAGGAGAGAGAGCCUGUAACCGUACGCCCGUAUAAUUGAUUGAGUCUAAUGAGUUAAAGAGGAUGUGCCACGGUCGCGCUCGAUGGCAAAAAUUAAAGAGUUCCGUCUAGGUCAUGAAGGCGACAGCGGGGCCGCGGCACAGAGAAAGUACGGGAACUUGGCUACUUCCCCCUCUCCGCCCCUUCGUUGACCCCCUCCCGCCCCCCUCCCCUCCGUCAGCCCCUCGCCGCGCUUCUUCCGGCAUCUCAUUCGGCGUCCACGUCGACCGUCGGCGCGGGAAGCGCUGAUUGUAAAUUAGUUAAAGGAGAUGCUUCAUUAGGCGGGGAGAGACCGUCUCGCGCUUCUUGAAGGCCUCCCUGCGUUUAGCUGUUUUUAAAGGGGCUCGCGCGGCAUAAUAACCGGCGCUCUCCUCCGUGGAGGCGCGCGCGCCCGAGCAAUUACGUAACUCCAUAAGAGACGAGAUGAAACGAGCUGCGUUUUAUUAUCGGCGAAACGACUGCGACUGCGACUGCGACGGAGGACGAGUCGGGUUUUUCAGUCACGCGAUCGCGCGCCGGCUUUCCACCUUUUCCGUUGAUUUUUAUUCCCGCGGCGGGGAUGAGGUCACGGCCGAGAGACGAGUUAUGAAUAACACGAGCGAGAUACGCGGUAACGAGAGUCGUGCACUCGCUCGAUGAUUGUUGCAAGAUAUAUUUGUAGAUCUCCUAUCUCUCACACGUAUCGCGUUCGCGUACUCCUACUACCUAGGAUAUAUAUAUAUCUAUUGCGAAUCUCCCUGACUUCUUUGUACACGCAUAAUUGGUUGGCGUAUGAGCGGACAAGUAGUCCGGAUGCUUGAUGGAAAAAUUACAAUCACACCAAUUACUCAAUGGAAAAGUAGUAUCAGCGAUCGCUCACGAGCAAUCAAGUGUUUCGAAAUGAAAUGCAAGUGGGUAGAAUUCCCACGUGUUCGAGCGAACAUUCCUCGCUCUCCUCUCCGAGGAGGACUCAAACGCAGCGGAUAUAUUAAGAGUAUUUAUAGACAGUUACGCGUACUUCCAAAUGAGGCACACUUAAAAGUCCGCAGACAAAGCUGUUAUUUGAUCAAUCGAUUUUAUAACAAGUUGAACAGCUUUCCCACAUAAGUAGCUCAUAAAAAAAUACUGCUUACAUCCACGUAAAUUUUCAUGACUAUCACGACGUGAGAUAAUCAAUGAAGGACAAUCAAUGAAGGACAAUCAAUGAAGGACAUUUUUUUAUUAUAUUUAUGAAGCAAAUUUACUGUGUUGAAUUAAUUAUUAAAUUAUUUAACAUAUUAAUGCAAUUAUCAAAUAUAUUAAAUUUUUUAUUAUAUUAAUGUAGCAAAAAAUUUGGUAAAAGUUUUACUCAGAUUUUUGUAUCUCACACGACACUUUAAUUUAAAAAUAUUUUCCUUAUUUAUACUUGCGCUAUAUAUAAACUACUCGUUAGGAAUUCAACCAAAUCGACUGGAAAAUUUACUAUCAAAUUUAUUUACUCUACCUAUUUGGGUAUAUUAUAUAGUGUUCUCAAGUGGAAACUGAUAAAGAAUAAGCAUUUUGCAAUUAAGAGAAACCGAGGCUAGUUGACUAUCGGGGUAAGCUGACAAAAUUUAGAAAAGAAGCCUGCCACUUUCUAACAAGUUACAGAAUUACAAAAAAACAAGCAAGAUUUUUGUCAACAUAUUAGAAAUGACUUUUAAAUCCCUGUUUGCUUGAUUCUGAAAUCUUAAAGAACAGUAGAAAUAAUCAAUUUUGCCAGCUUUUACUCCAGUAGCCAGCUAACCCUCCCUUAUUUGCCUAGAUAGACAGGUGUACGUAUAUUUGGCAGUAACUGUCUAUUUGUUAAAAGUUGCAUCCCUUAUGAAUGAUUAUGUACGGCAUUCAUUUAUUUAUCGCGCGGAAUGGCGAAGUAAAAAUACGAAAAAGAUGAUAAAAAUUCGCUCAAGACACUAAGUCAUUUAACAUGUAACAUGAAAAUCUGGGGGAAAACUUUCAGCAAAUUUCUUGCUGUACAUCAAUAUAUCUAAAGAUUCACGCUAUUUUAUGAUGUAAAUUUCGUAAUUAAUUAGUAUAUUCGCUUCAUAAAUAUAAUGAAGACAAAGUUUGUCUGGUUUGUGAUAACUGCCGGGAACCUCUCUAAUAAUUAAGUCUCGAAUUUCGUAGGGUUUUGCCAUUAACUUAACCGAUUACGUCGGAGAGGAAGCAGAGACGAACGCCUCGCGAGUCUCGCUCGACAUGCGAGAGCCUCGAAUCCGCUUCGAAGCGAAUUACCCAGUUCGCUCCCCUCCUAUCCCAAUCGGAGCGUUUACGGGCCCGUCUCUCUCGUCUACGCGAUAUUACUUUUCGGCAGGCUCGCGGGCUUCGCGCGCUGGCUCGCUCUCGUCGACGUCUUUUCAAUUUGCACAGAGAUGAAAAAGGUGGUAGCGGCGAUAGGUAGAUAGCGAAACGGACGGCGGACGCAAGGGGAACGUCCGUGGACUGACGCGGCGCAGUGUGCGGCAGGACGGAGGCACCGUCGCGGCUGGCGCGGUGUCUUCCGCAUCCCCAAGGGAAAUUAUUGACAGUCAGCGAGGAAAUGACGUCGUAAAUACCACGCCAAGGCGAAGCCGCCGCCAGCCCGCCCAUCCGCUCGCUUUUCUGCUCUUGCUCCUCCAAUUCCUCCACCACUCUUUCGUUCUGCACAUCGUCCUUCGUCCUCCAUCCGUGGGUUUUCUUAGCUCCCUUCCUUGCGCGUGUGCUACGUUAAUCCUAGCAAAUGUUUCCAACGCGCUCGCGGGCUAGGAAAGUACGCCCGUCUACUUGCGUAUACGGACCGACAUAACAUUCACGCAAUAUAAUUAAUUUUUUACUAAUAUUUACUAACCAUGUUAUGGUCACUAAUAUUUUCUAACGGUACAUUUGUUCCUGAAUAUUAAAAUAAAGUUAUCACAAUGACAGAUUAAGAUGGAAAUACCAGGAUGUCUGAAAAUGUACCUAAUUCUAGACAUUUUUAUUAUUUCAGUCUCUAAAUACGAAAAUUUAAACUUCCAACAAUCUUUAAAUACCAAAAUUAAACUUAUA